UACGUAGGGUGCGAGCGUUAAUCGGAAUUACUGGGCGUAAAGCGUGCGCAGGCGGUUUUGUAAGCCAGAUGGGAAAUCCCCGGGCUCAACCUGGGAAUGGCAUUUGGGACUGCAAGGCUGGAGUUUGGCAGAGGAGACUGGAAUUCCCGGUGUAGCAGUGAAAUGCGUAGAUAUCGGGAGGAAUACCGAUGGCGAAGGCAGGUCUCUGGGCUAUAACUGACGCUCAUGCACGAAGGCGUGGGGAGCAAACAGG
This 253-nucleotide ribosomal RNA is filed under the name uncultured bacterium. Its description in RNAcentral is "partial 16S ribosomal RNA". It matches the Rfam family "Bacterial small subunit ribosomal RNA", at positions 524 to 776 of the family's 1533-position model. The record is from RNAcentral.